RNAcentral lists this long non-coding RNA (335 nucleotides) under Carica papaya (papaya). Its description in RNAcentral is "long non-coding RNA (CPAP_LNC012193)". Lineage: Eukaryota; Viridiplantae; Streptophyta; Magnoliopsida; Brassicales; Caricaceae. The record is from RNAcentral.
CAACGUCUACCAAUCAACACCUGCCCUUUUCUGAAAAAAUAGACAAACUAAAAAUAUUACCUUUGUGUGCCAUAGAGGCACUGACCGGGUAAGAUGUCUUGGACAUAAUAUGUUGGAGGGCUUCCAACUGCUCAGGGGCAAAUAGGCCUUUUUCCACUGCAUCAGAGGGCAUUUCCUCAUCAACAACGUGAUUCCCUUGAUGCUUGCUGGAGCUCUUUGCCUUCGACGUCUUCCACUCAUCGGAAGAUGGUUUCUAGUUGCUUGGUUUGCUGUGAAGUUUCCAGCAACGAUCCUUAGUGUGUCCUAGCUUCCGACGUGAUCGCACCAGGGUCUCG